CAAUAGCGUAUAUUAAAGUUGUUGCGGUUAAAAGCUCGUAGUUGGAUUUCUGUCGAGGACGUCCGGUCCGCACUUUGUGCGUGUAUCUGGUUCGGCCUUGGCAUCCUCCUGGGGAACAGCGCUGCGCUUGAUUGCGUGGUCUGGUAUUCAGGACUUUUACUUUGAGGAAAUUAGAGUGUUUACGGCAGGCAAUCGCCUUGAAUAUAUUAGCAUGGAAUAAUAAUAUAGGACCUUUGUUCUAUUUUGUUGGUUUCUAGAACGAAGGUAAUGAUUAAUAGGGAUAAUUGGGGGCAUUCGUAUUAACACGUCAGAGGUGAAAUUCUUGGAUUGUGUUACGACGAACUACUGCGAAAGCAUUUGCCAAGGAUGUUUUCAUUGAUCAAGAACGAAAGUGCGGGGAUCGAAGACGAUUAGAUACCGU
This 421-nucleotide ribosomal RNA is filed under the name uncultured eukaryote. Its description in RNAcentral is "SSU rRNA". It matches the Rfam family "Eukaryotic small subunit ribosomal RNA", at positions 592 to 1018 of the family's 1831-position model. The record is from RNAcentral.